Molecule: long non-coding RNA, 2748 nt
Organism: Rattus norvegicus (Norway rat)
Lineage: Eukaryota; Metazoa; Chordata; Mammalia; Rodentia; Muridae
Source: RefSeq, a predicted model, not a curated record
AGCGCUCCUCAGAAAUCCCCCACCCGCAACGCACUCAUAGUGGCAAGUUCCAAGGUAAGUUUAGCCACAAUCUCUGGUGUUGCACUCAACUGGUUAAUCUUUUUCCUCGGCUCCCGUGCCAACCCCCUAGAACAGCGGACGCCAUCCACCCUGCCCUCCACCAAGCAUCCAGGGGCGCUGCUUUCUUGCAAAAAGCCGUAUGUCAAAGUUCUGCAUCCCGGUUGGACGCGCCCUCCCAACCCUCCCAGCCCUGCCGGCUGCUGGCUCUGCAGUUUUCCAAAUGUGGAUGAUGCUGGGAGAAACUCCAGGCGCCCCCUCGGAGCCACGCGGCACCAGCACCCACAGCACCCACCUCACCGGAGGGCACACCCCCACCACUGCCGAUAAGUUUUCAGGGGCUUUCCUAGCUGGUGGGCAGCUGAAGCAGCCAGCUGAGAGGGACUCACCAGGGAGCCCUGGGCGCCCCUCGGGCUGGGCUGGUGACCGCGGCAGCGGUGGCGGCGGGCGCAGGGUCGCGGCUCCCCGGGAGAUGCUGCAGCAGCGGCAGCGGUAGCCACCUCCUCCCGGAGCCAAUCGCAAAUGCAGGGGUGGGGGCGGGCCGGAGCUCCCAUUGCGUCCGCACUUGGUGGGGAGGGGGGGCAGAGAGAGAAAGAAGACACCGCGACUCCGCACCCCUGCCCUUCCCCCAGCCCUCCUGCAGCAGCGCAGACUUAGCAGCAGGGAAAUCUUGAGAGAGAAGGAGGAAGAGGGAGAGGGAAAGAGAGAGAGAAGAGGGAGGGGAGUGGAGGGGUGGGAGAGAGAGAGAGAGAGAGAGAGAGAGAGAGAGAGAGAGAGAGAGAGAGAGAGAGAGAGAGAGAGCCGAUGCAGAGUUAAGGAGGCAGAGCCCAGCUGCACACCUUGCCCGGCCAAAGCUGCAGGAAGCUCCUGCACCCUCCUCAGCCCUGCCGGUACCAGGUAGAGGUCAGAGCAGAACAAAAAGGAAAAAGAGAAAGGCCCCGCGGGAGACAUAGCUGAGUAGCCUGACCUCCCGGGACAACUCACAGACGGUGAGGGGAAGGCACCCCUUCAGCUUCACCCCAAAGCUCUUGGGCACCCAACAGGAAAGGACACUGACAGAGACCAGCCUGCAGAGGCUACAAGAUGGAGAAGAAGCCACAUCAUGCGGAUGAGAGAGCCAAACCACACACAAGAGAAAUGAAGUCACUAUCCAGGCUGGUUGUGACCGGUGUCCCAACCAAGGAAGGAGAAACAGAGAGGAGCAUCUGCACUGCUGGCCGAGCUGCAGGAAACAAGACUGAGGAGACGCUGUUCCCAUCCAACCCCAUAUCUUCACUCCCAACCCUGAGCAGUCCACACCAGUGACGGCCACUGCAGAACAUAAGAAGAUUCUUCAACAACGGUUUCACUUAGCCCAGGGCUACCAGCAAGUUUGCCUGCCAUGUCCCUGAAGAUGACCUUGAACUUUUGACCCUCCUGUCUGGACCCCUAGAGUACUAGGAUUACAGUCCUGUCUAGAGCUGGAACAUGCUGUGAAGUGGACAGAAGAUUGCCCCUGACCCCGCCUUCUCAAGAAUACCCCAGAACCUCAGACCAUGUCUCUCUGUGUGAGGGUCAGUCUUCCUUGUCAGCUUGUUAGAAUCACUGUGGACACACACAUCUGAGCGUGUCAGCAAGGGCAUUUCUGAGGAGGCUUAACUGAGGUAGAAAGACCCAACAUGACAAUGGGCCAAAGCAUCCUGCAGGCUUGAAUGGGACAUGUGCUGAAAAAGAAAGAGUAAGCUAGAAACCAAUGCUCAUCCCUUUCUGCGUUCUGACCUCAGAUGCCGUGUGAUCAACCUACCUUGAGCUUCUCCCACCAUUGCCCAUCACCGUGAUGGACUGCAUCCCCUUAAACUGUAAGUCAACAGAAGCCCUUCCUUAAAUUACUCCUUUCUGGGUAUGUGAUCAUGGUAAUACAGUACCUUGCAUGGCAGACGGGGUUAAUUUAAGGAAUUCUGGGCGGAUCAUCUUGGACACUGGAUCCUUAUAGAGGGAAGGAUAACUAGAGAUUUGGAAGUACCUGUUACUACUGACUUUGGAUGGAGGAAAGGGCCAGGAAUGGAAGGUUAAGUGGUCUAGAAGCUGGAAAUCAACAGGCAUAGACUCGCCUAUAGCUUACAGAGGGAGUCACCUGACAUUGGGCUGCACUUCUAACCUAUUUAAAAAAAAAAUCAUUGAGCACUCAAGGGCUAAAUGUCUGGUUGUGUGUAACAGAAAUGGUAGUACACUCACUCUGCCUUGUGACUUUCCAAGAAACCCUCCCAGUGAGUAGAGUCCACAAGGGCCCACCCUGAGACUCCCUGUGGCCUGCACAAAUGGUAGAAUCAACUUCCAUGUGUUCUUGGGCCCUCACCAGCAAUACCCAGCAUGCUCUACGCUGAAUUCCAAGGGAGCCAGGCAGGAAGGUGUGUGAGGAAAUGGUCCCUGGGCGGGGGUGGGGAGGACACUGGCCAAGGGGAAGGAACAACUUGGUGGAUACUCCUGCCCAUAUCCUAUAGCUAUGCCCAUGGACCAACUCUCUGUGCUGUCCCAGCCUGGGCCUGGCAUGACUUGGGUAUGGCUACUGGCUCCAUAGGCAACAAAGCCAGUGAGAAGAUACCCUGGGCUUCAUGCAAAUCCGUGAUGUCUCUCUGCCAGUGUCUACACUACACAUAUGCAGUUCUGUCCAGGAUGGACAGCUGGUCAUUAAAAGCCAGGAAUUAAAGCAGG